This is a long non-coding RNA of Gavialis gangeticus (Gharial), 2369 nucleotides long. RefSeq lists it as uncharacterized. The record is from RefSeq and is a predicted model, not a curated record. NCBI's taxonomy places the organism in Eukaryota, Metazoa, Chordata, Crocodylia, Gavialidae. The transcript has 2 exons.
AGAAGCGUCUGGUCACAGGGGCUGGGAGAGGGCAAGAGAUCCCCUCUCUGCCUCCGUGCCCCCUCCAUGCCAAAAGAAUGGCGUGAAUGAUGCUCUCACGUGACUGGAGGACGUCAACCUUUUUUUUUGCCCAUUUUAUCCAGAAUUGUUAAAUGAACUUCUCCCCCCACCCACCAUGCCCUCCCCAUCCUCCCCAGCACUGAAUGCCCUCAACUUUUGCCCUUCUCCCAUCUCCUGAGCUAUUUCCCUCGAGCUUUUCUUGCUCUUUUUGGUCUUGUGCGUGUGCGCGCGCGCCUGCAUGCAUGUGCGUGUGCAUGCAUGCGUGUGUAUGUGCGUGUUGUGUGUGUGUCUGAAAUCCUCAGAGCAAAAGAGGGAAAGAAACUGGACACGCGCUCGCCACUGCCCCAGCCUCGCAGAGACCCAGCUCCGAGCCCCGGCGGUGGAAGAGGAGGAGAAGGGAGCUCUUCCCAAGGACUUCAGGAAGAAAGGAGCGGAGGCGGAUCGGACGCUGCAAGAGCUGAACCAAAGCGAGGAAAUUAAGGAGAAGAAAAGAAACUACUUUAUUGUACCUCGGUGGAUCUUGAUGACAGCUUUGUCGGAAGGACUUUUUUGCGCCCCCCCCCAAAGAUGCUUUGAUUUUUGGACUCACUGGAUUCCAACGGAACUGUCUUGACGUGAAGAAAAAUAGAGACCCUUCUUCCCAAACAGCUUUAAGUGUUGCAAGAAUACAGCCCCCUUUCCAGAAAGCGCAGAGAUACUGGGGAGCGGGGUGGGGGGAAAUAAUUCGUACUUGAUUUCCCCUUUGAAAAAAAAAAAUACCCCCCCGGUCCCAGAUCCCUGGUAUCUAUAUGGAAAGCUGUUUCUCUUUAUAAAGACUUAAAAUGUUGCAAGACGGGUCUAAUACUGAGUGACAAGCGGUGGUGGAGAGAGAGAGGAACCAAAUGGAUUCUGGUUUUUAAAGGCCACUAGGAACUGGCCAGUCUUCAAUGUCAGGAUUCAAAAUUGAUUCCAUAUGUCUCGUCCAAAAAAAAAAAAAAAAAUCAAAGUUAAGCAAAACCUAGCGGAUUCCUUUCUUUCUGCCAUUUUUCCUUUUCUUUUCUUUUCUUUUUUUUGUGGGGUGUGUAGACGUGAUCCUAUAAAAUAUAUGUAUAUUGCAAUUAACAUGGCUGACUUUUGUGUCUAAUCACAGAGGUAAGAGGUGGAAAAGUUGCAGCAGCCCCAGACACAAGGCUGCACUUAGCAUCCAGUGAAUGGAGUUGCCCUGAAGUUGCAAACGGGGCAUAUGUAUGGGGAUGAGGAAAGGGGUGAAGUUUGCCAGAACGUGGGUCGGCAGGAAAAACAGGGGAAACUCUCCUGAAUGCGGGGUGAAUGGGAGAAUUGUUUUGGGGGAGAUUGCCAUUGACUGCCAUAGGCGGUGCGGCUGCUUUUGGGUAGCACUGAAAGUGGACGUGUUGCGGGGAUGGAUGGACGUGUUGCGGGGAUGGAGGAGGGCAAAGAAGCCGGGUUGAUUUUCACCAAAUAACAGACCUCGGGCUAUUUCACCUUCCAUCACCUCCUUCGGGGCUUAAAGGGGGACGCUGGACACCCCCAAAGAUGCCAUGGUGGAAAUCUGGAGAAACCUGCCCCUAAGCACUUAGUGUUCUCUCUGACCUCGCAGUGCCUUUGCCCAUAGCACGCAGGCAGAUUUUUGUUUGAACUUAACUUAAAAAAAAUAAAGAUGAAAUAUUAUGGAGUGAGAAUCCUUCCCCCCACCCUUUCCCCUUUACAGCUAUCUUGUGGGGUGGGAGAACAACAACCCAACCUGAACAUCGCUUCUGAUUUAUGGCUUUGCUUUUCUGAAAUAGCUUCUGAUUUGGUCGGUGGCAAUCGAGUGUUGAAAUGUGGUUUUACACCCGUCUCCCCUCCCCCCAACAAAUAAACUUCAAAGGAGACGUCAUUCUUUCCAACUUUGGCCUAUUUCACAGAAAAGCAACAAGCACUCCUUUCCUUUUGUCCUGGCUGGAAAAGAAAAGGUGGGGGGGGAAGCUCCUUUCUUUCUGCAGCAGUAGAUCUGCCUCGGCUCCCGCUAUAGUCUUUUGCAGUCCUGAAGGCCUCUAUAGCAGUGAUUUGUUUGGGGAGUGAAUUUGUUCUGCCUGUGUUUCCCCGAUGAGAUUUGUUAAAAUAACGGAACCAAUGUAAUGCGGUUUUUCUGUGCAAACGUUAAUUCCUUUCCCAAACUACGGCCAUGUAUUUCUAACGAGGUUAUGAUUUCGCUCCCUUUGAAAUAUAUAUACACAGGUGUGUGCGUGUGUGUAUAGAUACAUAUGUAAGUAUACACGUAUACAUGUAUACGCAUGUGUAUAAUCCGUCGGAAUAAAGGCAGUAUCUCU